UAUAUACGAAAAAGAAGGCGAAAAUAAGGAGGGAUAUAAUGCGCAAACAACAAUUAAACGGCGAUAUGGAAAUUGUGGUAAACCCGGAUAUAAUGCACAAAUAUAUUAAAAAGAUGAAAAAAUGUCUGCUAUAUAUAGUUCCGAUUGCAUUGUAGUUAAUUAAACAACGUUGGCGUUAUAAUUGAAAUUGGGAAUAAGACCGACCGGAAAAAUGUCCGGGGUACUGUCCUGUCCGGGGUACUAUAUAUCCACGUUAUGGGAAAAAGGUUAAUAAUAAUUUAACAGGCGAAUUAACACAGUUCGCCAUAUAAAUUGCCUGUCUCCUCCAAUAAAUUUGUAAUUUUGUUUACAUUAGAUUCGAAUAAGGAAAUAAAAAAAGGCAAAAUGUUUAAUUGCGGAGGAAGUUAAAUUAUACGUACAAAUAAUAUUUUGUAAACGGUGCUAUUUCUUUUUUCGAUAAUAUGCGGUUAAAAUUAAUAUGGCCGACAAAAUUUUACAUAUUACGCGGCCAAUUAAUUAAUAUAUAUUAUUACGUUUGGCGAAAAAGGUCCGAGGAAUUUUUUAAUUAUUAAAUAUGGCCAUUUUUAACAGGGUUUUGGCGAAAGCUAUUUGCCAUUUGUCGGCUAUUUUUUUUUUCGAUAUAUGGGUUAUAAAAGUGCAUAGUUUAGUUUAAAAAUAUUUCAAAUAUUUAAAAAAAGCCCUAUUAUUAUUUAUAAAUUACCCUAAUUAAUAUUUCGCAAAUCGAAUAUAGUCGACCUUUAAAAAUUAAUAUAUUUUAUUUUUAAUUAUAUUAACAAUCCGGAUUUCAAACCCCAAUAUUUUAAAACGGGAGCCGGGUUUGGGAUUAAUAGGAGUAAAUGGGUAACUCCAUGCAAAUUUAAAUAACCCAAAUAUUAAUAUUAUUUACGCAAUACCAUAUUACAAAUUUAUCGCGAGGGUGUAAAUUUGUGAAAUAAUUUGUUAUUUGUUCGCCCUGGGUAUUAUUGGGGCUUUUACCCAUAUCCUGAACGGUAACGAUAAUAAAUAUCUACCAAAAUAAAUAUUAUAUUCUUUUUUUAAUAUGGGAAAUUUAAAUAAAAAAACAAAUGUUAAUAAAUAAUAAAUUAAAAAUUCCCGUUAUUUUACCACCAAUUAUAUUAUGGAAUUUACCCCGGAUUUGAAAAUUAUUAUAUAUAACGGAUUAACGCACCGUUAAACAAAUAACUGGCACGGUAUUAAAUUAAUUAGCGGAAACCUCCACCGUUAUACGCGUGCCAUACCGCCUCCCCGAUUAGGAUAUUAUAUACGGUAUAAAAUUUAAAUUCCGUCCCACGGAACCCAAUAUCGAAUUUAGCGAGGACGUUAAAAAAAGAUUAAAGGCCGCCGGCGACGUCGAAAAUUUUGGCCGCAAUUAAAUGUGGGAAACGGCCGUUUAUAUUGGUCAUUUUAACGGUGGGUUUGCUAAUUGGUUUUAUUAUAAACGUUUAUAGGAAUUAUAAUUUCCCAAAACCCGGAACAAUCCAAUAUUCGAAAAUAUACCGUUCGCAUUUGGCCAACCUGGCCUAAAACCGACCGUUUCGAUUCGCCAAUUUCGCCUAUAUUUGCACAAUCGCCCAACCCGUUCGUUCGGAUAUUAAUUAUAUCCGCCGUCCCAACAAAAUUAUUCGCGGCCAAAAAUGCACCCAAAUUUCUAAUAUAUUAAAUUCCUAAUUAUACGUAAUCCACGUUAUAAUAAAUUAAAUAUUAGGUAAAUUGCGCCCCCUCGAAAAUUAUUUAUAACCAAUAUUAAAUAAAAUUUUAAAAUUAUAAUGGAUUGCGCACACGUUCGUUGGUUCCCAUCCAACCAAAACGACAAAUAUUAAAUAUAUAUAUAACGAAUAAAUAAACCCUUUUAAUAUUGGAUCCUCCGUCACCUCGAUUUUAGUUCCUAUUUCCGUUCCACAGCCCGUCCAUCCACUGUACGUAAUAUAAUACCUGAGCUGUAACAAAAUCCGUUAUAAUAAUAAAAUUCCUUGCGCGUUAACGUUGGCGCCGUGUUUAAAAAGCAGUUCCACGAUAUUUUAAUUUCUUUUGUAAUAAACAGCCUGUAAGGUAUUACCGUAUUCGCCGCCUUACGCGUUAACGUUGGCGCCGUAUUUAAAAAACAGCUCCGCGAUACUUUAAUAUCCCUCGUAAUAAACAACCUCCAAGGUAUUACCGUAUUCGCCGCCUUGCGCGUUAACGUUGGCGCCGUAUUUAAAAAACAGUUCCACGAUAUUUUAAUUUUUUUUGUAACAAACAGCCUGCAAAAUAUUAUUAUUUUCGCCGCCUUGCGCGUUAACGUUAACGCCGUGUUUAAAAAACAGCUCCACGAUACCUUAAUAUCCCUCGGAACAAAUAGCCUGCAAGGUAUUACCGUAUGCGCCGCUUUGCGCGUUAACGUUGGCGCUAUAUAUAAAAAACAAUUCCACGAUAUUUUAAUAUCCCUCGGAACAAAUAAUUUGCAAGGUAUUACCGUAUUCGCCGCUUUGCGCGUUAACGUUGGCGCCGUAUUUAAAAAACAGCUCCGCGAUAUUUUAAUAUCCCUCGUAAUAAAUAAUUUGCAAAAUAUUGCCGUAUUUGCCGCCUUGCGCGUUAACGUUGGCGCCGUAUUUAAAAAACAGUUCCACGAUAUUUUAAUUUCUUUUGUAACAAAUAGCCUGCAAGGUAUUACCGUACUCGCUGCCUUGCGCGUUAACGUUGGCGUUAUUUAAAGCCAGCGGUAAUAAGUUUCAAAACCCAUAAAGGAUUAAUUUGUAAAUUAGUCCGGCGUUUUUCAAAUUAGGCCCAAAUUCCAAUUUAUUAUUAUAAAUCCGCAAAUCUUUCCACCGUUGCAAUUAUGCGUUUAACUUUUGCAUCCAUUUUUUAAUGGAUGGUUUUUCGGUAAUACCGCGGGAUUCGAAAAUAUAUAUUUGGUUAAUAGGCAUAACCAUUUCGGUAUAAAAGAAAAUAUGGCGCGCAGCGUAUUUAAGGAACGGAAUUUUGUUAAAUGUCCGGCGCCUGUCUGGCGCAAUUUCGGAUGCAAUAAAUCUUUGCUGGAUAUAUUAUUAACAGAAACGCCAAAAUCUGCUAUAGCUAGUUAUAAUUGGUUCAAGCCCCAAAUUCGGAUUAAAAAUUUGCAGGAUUUUUUUUCGAAAUAGAAAAUCUUUAACGGAUAAAUGGAUAAAUUAAACGGUCCCCUGUUCGUUUUUUCUAAUUUUAAUUAAAUUUUUAAAGGAAAUAGUAAUUCGUCGAUUUAUUAUUUCGCGGUUAGGGAAAGGGAUUUUAAUUGCCGCCGCGAAAAACUUUUCAGCCGUAAAUAUUUCCCUGCUAAAAAAUACCAAUUGGAGCAUUAAAAUUAUUAUAGCCUUUUUAAGGACAUUUUGGCCCAAAAUGGUGGAAAAUAAUUUUUCCAAACCAUUUGGGAUUUCCUCCAAAAUCUUUUUUAUAUUUUCGAUACGGCUUUCGUCGUAAAUUUUAUUUAGCAGGGACAUUAUUAUAACGACCCAAAGAAAAACGUUGCUGGUUUUUUCUACGAUUUCAGUUUUUAUUUUUUUAUUAUUACCCCGUAACCAUUUCCUGGUAUAUUUGGUAAUAUUUUUUCGAUAAUUUUUUUUUUGUUCCAUUGCCAAUUUUACAAAUUUAUUUAUUCCGAUAAUUGGGUAAUGGUGGCUCGAUAAAUAUAUUUGCAACUAUUUAUUUGCCCGGGAGGGUUCCAGGUUUAGUAAUUCGAAAAAAUGGACCAUAUUGCGAAUUUUAUUAUUGUCGCAUUCGUUUAAAAUAUCGAUAAACAGUAAAAUGGGACGCGGUGGUUAUUAUAUAAAAAAGCGUACAAAUUUUUAAAAUUCCGAUAAACGCUAUUCCCAUUAUAUAUUAUAAUUAUAUAUUUGUUUUUCGCGAAAUAUAUAAACGAACCGGUCGUAAAACGCGUUAUUAUUCCGCACCAAUUGGUAUAUUAUCGAUCGCAAUAGGCCCAAAAUUAUUUUUUUAAACCUAUCGCCUCGAACGUUGAAAAAAUGGGUUAUAAUAAUAUGGUGGCGAAAAAGGUUUUUUUGGAAGCGGCGAAAAAUAUGUUUUAUUAAAAUCGAUUUUCCUGCGUCCGGUUUUCUUUUAAUCCAAAAUACGCUAUUAUAUGCGGCGCGGCGUUUAAGGUCUCGCCAUUUCUGGAAUUCGGGCGAUUUAAACAACUAUUCGUAUAUUUUUGGAUAUGGAGGGGCGAUGUCGUUUUAACGAAUAUUAAUAUCGCGGAAUGCAAAGGAACGGAAAUAAACUACCAUUGGUUAAUAACCAAAGACCGGUAUAAAUUAGGGACCACGAAAAACAAUGGGGGGAAAAGAAAUUACCAUUUUUUUUUUGUUCCGGUGAAAGUCGUUGCAAAUUGCCUAUUAAAUUGUAAAAAUUUAAAUAUUAGGUUUAUAAUAUGCAAAAGGGGUUCCUUUUACCAAAUAUUUAAUUAAAAUUAAUAAUAGUGGUUUUUGAAAACUGGUUCCCGAUAAUUGCGUUGGUGGUUUCGGUUAACCCAAACGAUUAAUUUGGAUUCGUAUCGGCCAUUGUAAUCGAAAUUUGCGUCGCUUGCAAUUUCUUCCAUAUAAGCCAACCUGGUAUAAAUUCUAGACUUUUGUACCCAAGAAAAUAUACCAAAUUUUUCGUCGAAAAAAAACCAAAAAGGUAUCGAAUUUAAAUUAUAUGCCCACCAUUUGCAACACGUCGGUGGAGGGGGUAUAUAUUUGUACCUACCUGGGUUUAAAUAUUUUAGCAAUUUGGGUAUAUGCCAAAUUUAGGUCCAGCCCAUUUAUGCCAAUAGGUGUGGAUGGUGUGGUAUCCAAAACCACCAUAUUUGUUAAAAGUUCCUUUUUUUCCGUUAAUAUAUAUACGUGGCGUACCGUUGUAUAAAUUGUUAUUGCAUUAAUUUACAGGGAAAAACUGGUAAUAUAUCGCCCCCGACGUUUAAUUGCAACGUUAUUUUAAUUGCAACCGUUACUUUAUUUAUUGCUUUUUUAGGUGGAAUUGGUAAAAAAACAACCAAACCACCCAAAAAUGCAAAAAUCAGCCCCUUUUAUCCAUAUGGGUGGUUUUAUUACAAAUAUUUUUAACCUAUGGAAAUAAAGCAACGGGGUUGUUAAACGCCGCAAUUUUUUUCGGCGCAGUUUUAAUUUUUUUAAUAUUGUUUUUUUAUUCCCUGGGUAAAAAAUGGUGUAGGGUUUUGCGUAUUUGGUCGUUCGCACGUACGGGGUAUUACCGGUAGGUAAUUUUACCUUUUUUCCUUAAUUUUUUUGGCCGUUUACUGCUUUAAUAUUUAAAUUCGUUAUUCCAAUAUAUUAAUUAUUUGACCGUUUAGCCGUGGGUACGGCCUAUUAAUAUAAUUUUUUUUUUUUUUAAUGGAUACCCAAUAUUUCCAAUUUUGUUUAAAUUUUAAAAUAUUUGAAAAUAUUACAAUUUUAAAUAUAAAUAUUUUUGCAAUAUUUAUAAAAUAAUUAUUUUUCCAUUUUAUUUAAUUUAAAGUUUAAUAUAUUAUUAUUUCCCAAAAUACCGCCCCAAUUUAACCCCGAAAUUUAUACCGUGGUAUAAAUUACGCCCCUCGAAAUCGAAAUAAGGGCAACGUUAUAUAUAAUGGAUCGCCUACACCCUGGCCAAUUCCCAUUGGACCGAGGCGACAAUUACGUAUUUUAUACCGGCGAAUACGUCGGCCAUAAUAUUAUAAUCGCAAUUUUUCUUACCGGGUAAAAAUACGGGAUAAAUUCGGUUGCGGCGCUAGUAAACCAAAUUAAAAAAUUCUUUCCUAAUUUAUAAUUUGGGCUGUUCGUCGGCGUCGCCGCCGGUCUCCCGAACCUGUUCCGCGACCCGCCACGUAAUAUUAAAUUAAAAGACGUAUUGGUAAUUCUGCCGGAUAAUAAUAAUGCAGGCCUGGUCGCGUAUAAUUUCGGCAAGGAAAUUGCAAAAUUUGGGUUCCAACCGUUACGCCACGGUUAAAUAUUGGCCAUUACCGAAACGGUAAUCCGGUCGGUUAUCGGUAAUAUUAAAUUUAGCGCGCCCAAUAACGCCAAAUAUUAUUUGGAAUUUUAUAUAACGAUUGAAAACAAAAAACACGAAACGGGCACGUUUAAAAACCCAGGUUAAAAUUACGAUAAAUUAUAUACGAUUGGAAAGAACGGAGGGGAGACGGUUGUGGACCGAAUAUUGCGGCCCAUUUUCCAACGUAUCCGAAUAUAAUACGGGCGCAUUAGUUUUGGCGAAAAACUGGUAAAAAACGCCCGCAAAAGGGACCAAUUGCGAAACGAAUAUAAUUUUAUCGGUUUCGAGAUGGAGGCGGCCGGCACGAUAAAUCGUAUCCCCGUGGGUGUAAUCCGCGGCGUGUGUAAUUAUAGGGAUUUAUAUAAAAAUAAAAGGUGGUAGCCCUACGCGGCGGCGAUGGCGGUUAUAUAUACCAAAACUGUUUUGGCAGCUAUUCCGGCAAAGGCGAAUUUUGCAAAUAUCCCAACUGCGUUAUCCCCCGUUGCAAACCCCCCUUAUUUUAUAUUUUAUGGGCCUAUUAUUGGGCAAAAAAUUAUUGCAGAAAUAUCGAUACAAAAGACAAAUACUAUUAAUUUUUUUUAAAUUAAUAAUUAUACAGGCCGUUAAUUUUAAUGCGGGCCAUUUCGGGAUAAAAUAAUUAACCUGGGGUUUUAUUUUUUUUUUAAUAUUUUUUACACGUAAUUACAGCCAAAACGCUUUCCGUUUCAAUUUGGCGGGAGGUAUAAAAGUUUUAAUAAUUAUUUACCGCGUUAAAAUUAAAAUUAAACGUAAUACCAAUAAUUGCAAAUGGAAUUUGUUAUAUUAAAAAAAACACCGUUAAAAAAAAAAAUUCCCGUUAAUAAUUAAUACCAAUAAUUUCGGUAAAUAUAACCUGCAACAAAACCUAAUGGUUAAUAUUACCAGGUUUGGCAAUUACGUAUUUUUUAUAACUUUUAACAUAAUAAUUAUACCGCCAAAUUUUCCCCCCGGUUUAAUUAUUCCGACAAAAAUAAAACAAUCCAUCGAGUUUUCCAAUUUGCAAAUUGGCCCUAUUUUAGGUUUGGAAUUUUACCUCCAUAAUUUCGUUGGGGAUCCAAACAAUCGCCCAAUUGGAAUUACCAUUAUUAUCGAACAGCUGGGGACAAAUUCCAUGGGCCUACCAUUAAAAUUUCCAGGGAACCGAUUCCGAUAAUUUUAUAUACCCGUAAAUAAUAUAUCUUGGAUCGAGGUAGGAUUUUAACGCCAUUAAAAAAAAGCCCCGACCUUUAUACGGCAAAAAUAAAAUUAUUAUAACGUGGAUAUAUAAUACCCCGGACAAAAUAAUACCCCGGACAUUUUUCCAACGUGGACGAUUUUUUAAUUGCAAUGGCGUGUUUUUCCUAUAUUAAUAAUAAAAUCGUCGAAUCGCGAAACGCAAAUUAUUUUUGCGUUAAAUAAAUUCCGAUCGAAUAAAAAAUUAAACGUUAAAAAAAUUGCAACUAUUUUUAAUAUGCCGAAAUUAAUAUUAUACGAUAAAAUAAAUGGCGCGACUUUUUUAUUUAACCGUCGCCCCAAUAUGCAAAAAUUAACGGAAAACGAAAAAAAGGUAAUUGUCCAAUAUAUAUUGGAUUUAAAUUCCCGAGGGUUUCCGCCCCAGAUCGCUAAUAUUGCUGCUAUGGCCGACAAUAUUUUCGCCGCGCGGGACGCGUUACCGGCCGGAAUUCGCUGGGCAAAUCGUUUUGUUAAACGACGUACAAAAUUAAAAACGCGUUUUUUUCGCGCCUAUAAUUUUUAAAGGGCUUUUUGCGAAAAUUUUAACGCGUUAAACGCGUGGUUUCGUUUGGUGGCGAAUAUAAAGGCCAAAUACGGUAUCCAGGAUUGCGAUAUUUACAAUUUCGACGAAACCCGUUUUAUAAUAGGUUAAAUUUGCGGCCAUAUAAUUAUAACCGGGUCCGAAAAACGCGGAAAAAGCAAAAAAUUACAACCUAGUAAUCGAAAAUGGGCGAUUGCAAUUUGCUGCAUUAAUAGCGACGGUUAUAAUAUUCCCCCAUAUAUUAUUGUUAAAAACGUCCACCAUUUCGCAAAUUGGUAUAUAAAAGGCGAUUUCCCCGCAUUUUGGCGUAUAAAACCUACCCCCAACGGAUGGACAAAUAACGAAACAGGCCUGGAUUGGGUUUAGCAUUUCGAAAAAUAUACAAAAUUGCGGACAAAAGGCGUAUAUUGGAUAUUAAUAUUCGACGGGUACGGCAGUCACCAAUCCCCUAAAUUUGAAAAUUAUUGUAAAAAUUACAAUAUUAUUCCGUUUUGCCUGCCUGCUUAUUUAUCUCAUUUUACCCAACCAUUUAAUAUUGGAGUAUUUAAUAUUUUAAAACGGUCGUACGGUUAAGAAAUUAACGAUUUUAUCCGGGCCCACAUUAUUAAUAUUAGCAAAAUCGACUUCUUUUUAAUUUUGCAACGGUUUACAAAAAAUUUAUAAUAAAAGAAAAUAUAGCUGGGGGCUUUUGAGAAAUUGGGAUUAUUACUUAUAACCCGGAACCGGUUAUAUUUAAAUUGGAUGUUAAAUUACGGACGUUUUUACCCAAAAAACCUAUUUUUCCCAUUACCGAAUCUUGGGUUUUUCAAACGCCGCAUAACCCGACAAAAAUUAUUUGUUAAUUAACGCUUAUUAAAAAUCGAAUUGGCCGUCACCAAAAUAGCUUUCCUACACCAAUUUUUGAAAUUGUAAAACAAUUGGCAAAAAUAUUAAAGUUAAUUAUUUAUCGAAUUACAUUUUUUAAAGCAGAAAACCACAAUUUUCGGAAGGUUAACAAAACGUUUAACAAACGACGCAAGGCCAAAAAAAUACAUGUCCGCGAAGGAGGAUUAUUUACGGUACAAAAAAUUCAAAAUUUGUUACAAUUGAAAAACAAUAAUGGUUCGAUACAGGAGCAAAAAGGUUAAAAUAGGAAGGAAAUAAUGCGCAAUAUACCACCAAACGGCGCUGUAGCAAUUGCGGUAACACCGGAUAUAAUUCGCGCACCUGUUAGGAAAAUGAAAAAAUAUUUAAUAUAUAUAAUUCCGAUUGCAUUAAAAUUAAAUAAA
This 9027-nucleotide small RNA is filed under the name Pyricularia oryzae. RNAcentral's name for it is "Magnaporthe oryzae sRNA M_BR32_EuGene_00127851". Lineage: Eukaryota; Fungi; Ascomycota; Sordariomycetes; Magnaporthales; Pyriculariaceae. The record is from RNAcentral.